This 253-nucleotide ribosomal RNA is filed under the name uncultured bacterium. RNAcentral's name for it is "partial 16S ribosomal RNA". It matches the Rfam family "Bacterial small subunit ribosomal RNA", at positions 524 to 776 of the family's 1533-position model. The record is from RNAcentral.
UACGUAGGGUGCAAGCGUUGUCCGGAAUUAUUGGGCGUAAAGAGCUCGUAGGCGGUCUGUCGCGUCGGCUGUGAAAACUCGGGGCUCAACCCCGAGCCUGCAGUCGAUACGGGCAGACUAGAGUGCGGUAGGGGAGACUGGAAUUCCUGGUGUAGCGGUGAAAUGCGCAGAUAUCAGGAGGAACACCUGUGGCGAAAGCGGCUCACUGGACCAUAACUGACGCUGAUGCACGAAAGCUGGGGGAGCAAACAGG